Molecule: long non-coding RNA, 453 nt
Filed under: Diabrotica virgifera virgifera (western corn rootworm)
Lineage: Eukaryota; Metazoa; Arthropoda; Insecta; Coleoptera; Chrysomelidae
Description: uncharacterized LOC114333927
Source: RNAcentral
UUUCUAUAUUCUUCUCCAAGUAGGUAGCAUCGAGCAACUACAUACCUAAUUGGCACCCAGGAGAAGGGCGUGGCCCUAGCUUUACAUCGUCUGUUUUGGCCCUGACAAUAGAAUGCUCUCCAGGAAGCAAAUCACAUCGUAAAUGGUAAAUAGCAGUUCCCCAAGACCGUCACCCAUGGGUUCGACGAACAGUUAGACAGCUCCGGAGGCAACCACCGAACCACCAGUACAUCAAACUACCACCUGACGCCUCCCGAAGAAGAUCUGGAGCUGUAGAUAACCUAGGACAGCACCGGAAGAAGCCUUCACACCACAAGCUAAGUCUUUAAUUUAAUCUUAUAUUUGCCUGUCAGCAGAGACAGUUUUUUUUAUAUAAAAUAACUUCACAAUGAAUAUGAUGUAGAUCCUGAAUUAUAACCAAUGAAAUGAGAAAAUAAAGCAUUUAUACCGAAA